GCUUAGCCCUAAACCUAAAUAAUUUAAUAACAAAAAUAUUUGCCAGAGAACUACUAGCCAUAGCUUAAAACUCAAAGGACUUGGCGGUACUUUAUAUCCAUCUAGAGGAGCCUGUUCUAUAAUCGAUAAACCCCGCUAUACCUCACCAUCUCUUGCUAAUUCAGCCUAUAUACCGCCAUCUUCAGCAAACCCUAAAAAGGUACUAAAGUAAGCACAAGAACAAACAUAAAAACGUUAGGUCAAGGUGUAGCCAAUGAGAUGGGAAGAAAUGGGCUACAUUUUCUUUUAAAAGAACAUCACGAAACCCUUUAUGAAACUAAAGGAUAAAGGCGGAUUUAGUAGUAAAUUAAGAAUAGAGAGCUUAAUUG
This 368-nucleotide ribosomal RNA is filed under the name Mylomys dybowskii (African groove-toothed rat). Its description in RNAcentral is "partial 12S ribosomal RNA". The stretch from base 46 to 368 matches the Rfam family "Bacterial small subunit ribosomal RNA", at positions 875 to 1364 of the family's 1533-position model. Lineage: Eukaryota; Metazoa; Chordata; Mammalia; Rodentia; Muridae. The record is from RNAcentral.